CCAAAGGCUCUUUUCAGAGCCACCCACCGUUUCUGAGGAAGAACU
This 45-nucleotide non-coding RNA is filed under the name Marmota monax (woodchuck). It matches the Rfam family "Histone 3' UTR stem-loop". Rfam says of the family: The mRNAs of metazoan histone genes lack a poly-A tail. The record is from RNAcentral. Lineage: Eukaryota; Metazoa; Chordata; Mammalia; Rodentia; Sciuridae.